GGCCAGGUAGCUCAGAUGGUAGUAGCGCAGCCCUGAAAAGGCUGAGGUCACCGGUUCGAUCCCGGUCCUGGCCA
Molecule: transfer RNA, 74 nt
Filed under: Propionibacteriaceae bacterium
Lineage: Bacteria; Bacillati; Actinomycetota; Actinomycetes; Propionibacteriales; Propionibacteriaceae
Description: tRNA-Phe
Rfam family: tRNA
About the family: Transfer RNA (tRNA) molecules are approximately 80 nucleotides in length. Their secondary structure includes four short double-helical elements and three loops (D, anti-codon, and T loops).
Source: RNAcentral